This is a long non-coding RNA of Entelurus aequoreus (snake pipefish), 2212 nucleotides long. RefSeq lists it as uncharacterized. The transcript has 6 exons. The record is from RefSeq and is a predicted model, not a curated record. NCBI's taxonomy places the organism in Eukaryota, Metazoa, Chordata, Actinopteri, Syngnathiformes, Syngnathidae.
AAUUACUUAAAUUACUUCCGGUAUUCGUUCGAAAACAAGUCAUACAUGUCGCGGUGUAAAGUAGUAAUUUCUGUUGCUAUCCUACACAAAGCGGCGAAGAAGCAAUGCUGUAUGACCACUUGGUGGCGAUGGAGCGCAGCGGGCGAGCUGUGGAUGGGAACUACUACAACAUGAGAGGAAUAAACCUCAAACAUCUUGUGGACCCAAUUGAUGACUUGUUUAUUGCUGGCAGGAAUGACAAGCACAGGUAUGUAACACCUGAGAGACAUGGCACACACCAACAAGUCAACAACAGGUAUGUAACACCUGAGAGACAUGGCACACACCAACAAGUCAACAACAGGUAUGUAACACCUGAGAGACAUGGCACACACCAACAAGUCAACAGGUAUGUAACACCUGAGAGACAUGGCACACACCAACAAGUCAACAAGUAUGUAACACCUGAGAGACAUGGCACACACCAACAAGUCAACAACAGGUAUGUAACACCUGAGAGACAUGGCACACACCAACAAGUCAACAGGUAUGUAACACCUGAGAGACAUGGCACACACCAACAAGUCAACAGGUAUGCAACACCUGAGACAUGGCACACACCAACAAGUCAAGAACAGGUAUGUAACACCUGAGACAUGGCACAAGUCAACAGGUAUGUAACACCUGAGAGACAUGGCACAAGUCAACAACAGGUAUGUAACACCUGAGAGACAUGGCACAAGUCAACAACAGGUAUGUAACACCUGAGAGACAUGGCACAAGUCAACAACAGGUAUGUAACACCUGAGAGACAUGGCACAAGUCAACAACAGGUAUGUAACACAUGAGAGACAUGGCACAAGUCAACAACAGGUAUGUAACACCUGAGAGACAUGGCACAAGUCAACAACAGGUAUGUAACACCUGAGAGACAUGGCACAAGUCAACAACAGGUAUGUAACACAUGAGAGACAUGGCACAAGUCAACAACAGGUAUGUGUUAAAAUAAUUGUAAGUUAUCACAAAAGACUUUGAUGAAAUGAGUUCCAGGCAAAAGGACGGGGGCUGUCUUUGAGGCCUACCAAGAGGAAGAAGGCUCGUAAAACUCCACUGACUUCAAAGCGGACAGAUGGCAGGAUCUGCUCAACUUCCAGACGGACUAUUUUUGAAGUAUUUCACGAACCCUUUUGGAACUCUCUUUAAACUGUUUUACGACCUCUUAUUUUGAACUGUUCAGUAACCAAAGGCAACGCUGUUUACGACCCACUUCCCUCUGGAAGCAGCUGUGGUCAGGUGGGUGGAGGAAGUCAGAGGAGUGCAAUCUUUUGGCAGAGCGUGCUGGAGAUACUGUUCAAGGGUACGGUGUGUCCAGAUGUCAUCAGUGUUUGAAGCUGACAUCUUCUUGGUCCUUCGAGCCGGAUUCCAACACGUCUGACGAUUCCAGCAUGAGUGAGUGAAACCAGAAAGACCAUGGCAUCCAAAUCCUGAUUGAGGAACUGCUUUUUCUUAAUUCGGGCUGGAAUUGGAAGACUGAUGGAAAACCGAGGGCAAGAGGAAGGAACGCAUAGUUCAUCACGUGACCGCCACGGUCCAAUCAGCUGUGCUCAUAAGCCGGUAGCAGGAAGUGGCCAGAAGACAGAUUGUGUAUUUCUGCUCCAGAGGCGACUACGACUACCAGUGCUGGAUGAAGUUGUGUGUGACUACCAGCGCUGGAUGAAGCUGUCAUGAAGUUGUGUGUGACUAGAAGACAAGUUGGCCAGGCUGCUCUUUUGGAUGGCGAGCUAAGGAAAAGAAGCAUCUAGUCCAAGGAUGGUUCUUGGAAGAUUCCAGCCAGGGACCUCACCACCUGUUCUGGUAGGAGGCUCUCCAGCCGACCCUUUACAUGUUCAUCUUAACCUGCAGCACAUGGACUGCACUGACAUCUUUUUUUUUUCCAAGAACUUUAAGUCUGAACUGAAAUUUAUACAAGAUCCAGAGACACUGAUUCAUGGAAUUAGAAUAGUAUACUGUAUAUGUGUAUAGUACUUGUGUUUGUUUCUUCAAAUAGCUUUCAUGUUGAAUGGCCAUUCAACUAAUUGUUGUGUAUUUAACAUUGUCACACAAGUGUAGGGCUGCAACAAGUAAUCGAUUAAAUUGAUAAUAAAAAUAGUUGGUGAUUAAUUUAGCAUAGAUCCAACAAAUCGAUGAUUAUGUGCUGAGGUAAUUUUUUAUAGUAUUAUUUUUUUUUACAAAC